UUUGAAAUUUUAAGCAACUAUUUAGACAACGAGGGUUCUUCUUCAAUUGAGGCUGCAGACAGGAUGCGCAGAUGGCAAAAGCCGCCAAAGGUAGUGACUCCUCUUCUUUUUUUUGAUAGAAAGUGACUUCUCUUAUUCGAGUCAUUUCGUCUGUUCUUGAAUUUCAAUGGGUCUAAUGCAAAUCUGGUUUACGAGACUAAUUUCUGGAAGCCAGUAUGGGUUGAAACUCAUUGUAUAAUAAGCCAGGAUAAUAAGCAUUAAUGUUCCUAAGUGUCCUGAUCCAGAGAUCUGGAUAUAUUUAUGUUUCCUUAAGAAGCCCUUAGGUAAUGUGCAAGGGUGAUAAUGCAUUGGUCCUGCCACUCAUGCAAAGAUGCAAAUGAAUUGUGCACAGAAGUGGAUUCAGGAGUGCUGAUUGGAUUUACCAAUUGGAAGGGAGCCAAUGGGGGGAGUUCCUCAGCAAUCUUGGGGUCUACAGCUAUUGAAGUAUUGAACUGGCUAGCAAUGACAUCAAUGUCAAUGCUUGAUUGUUGG
Tripterygium wilfordii is the source of this 531-nucleotide long non-coding RNA. RefSeq lists it as uncharacterized. The record is from RefSeq and is a predicted model, not a curated record. The transcript has 2 exons. Lineage: Eukaryota; Viridiplantae; Streptophyta; Magnoliopsida; Celastrales; Celastraceae.